CAUGCAGGUGGUUUGGUUUAAGUUCAGAUGUGAAAGACCCGGGGCGUCAACCUCCGGAAUAGCAUUUGAAACUAGGCAGACUAGAGUACUGUAGAGGGGGGUAGGGAAGUUUCAGGUGUAGCGGUGAAAUAGCGUAGAGAUCUGAAGGAAUACCGGUGGCGAAGGCGGCCCCCUCGGACAGAUACUGACACUCAGAUGCGAAAGCGUGGGGAGCAAACAGGAUUAGAUACCCCUGGUAG
This 239-nucleotide ribosomal RNA is filed under the name uncultured bacterium. RNAcentral's name for it is "partial 16S ribosomal RNA". It matches the Rfam family "Bacterial small subunit ribosomal RNA", at positions 568 to 793 of the family's 1533-position model. The record is from RNAcentral.